GACGGUAAGGUAUUGGCUUACCGUGGCAGUAACGGUUAACGGGGGAUUAGGGUUCGAUUCCGGAGAGGCAGCCUGAGAAACGGCUACCACAUCUAAGGAAGGCAGCAGGCGCGCAAAUUACCUAAUUCUAACAGAAAAAGAGAGGUAGUGACAAGAAAUAACAAUACAAGGCAAUUAAGUUGUUUUGUAAUUGGAAUGAUAAAAACUUAAAAACUUUUCAAAGUAUCAAUUGGAGGGCAAGUCUGGUGCCAGCAGCCGCGGUAAUUCCAGCUCCAAUAGCGUAUAUUAAAAUUGUUGCAGUUAAAAAGCUCGUAGUUAAAUUUCUGCUAACAAUAACCGGUCUGCUUUGAAUAAAAAGUGGUACUUUGGUGCGUUUUUAGCAAUAAUGUUCUUUGAAAUGUUUUUUACUUUAUUGUAUAAAACAAUAUUCUGGAUUUUUACUUUGAGAAAAUUAAAGUGUUUCUAGCAGGCUAAUGUUUUGAAUACUGCAGCAUGGAAUAAUAAAAUAAGAUUUUAGUUCUACAUUAUUGGUUUUAAGAACUAAAAUAAUAAUUAAUAGGAACAGUUGGGGGUAUUUGUAUUUAACUGUCAGAGGUG
This 597-nucleotide ribosomal RNA is filed under the name Haemogregarina sp. Its description in RNAcentral is "bacterial SSU rRNA". It matches the Rfam family "Eukaryotic small subunit ribosomal RNA", at positions 324 to 913 of the family's 1831-position model. The record is from RNAcentral. Lineage: Eukaryota; Apicomplexa; Haemogregarinidae.